This is a long non-coding RNA of Struthio camelus australis, 1666 nucleotides long. NCBI's taxonomy places the organism in Eukaryota, Metazoa, Chordata, Aves, Struthioniformes, Struthionidae. The record is from Ensembl.
UUUGGGGUCCCAGAGAGUAUUUUGGGGCACUGAGGUGCUGUUUGGGGGUCCCCAGGGGGAUUUUGGGGCAUGAAGGUGCUGUUUGGGGGUCCCCAGGGGUUUUUUGGGGUCCCAGAGAGUAUUUUGGGGCACUGAGGUGCUGUUUGGGGGUCCCCAGGGGUAUUUUGGGGCAUGAAGGUGCUGUUUUGGGGUCCCCAGGGGUUUUUUGGGGUCCCAGAGAGUAUUUUGGGGCACUGAGGUGCUGUUUGGGGGUCCCCAGGGGUAUUUUGGGGCAUGAAGGUGCUGUUUUGGGGUCCCCAGGGGUUUUUUGGGGUCCCAGAGAGUAUUUUGGGGCACUGAGGUGCUGUUUGGGGGUCCCCAGGGGUAUUUUGGGGCAUGAAGGUGCUGUUUUGGGGUCCCGGGGGGUAAUUUUGCCCCUUCCCGCCGCAGGUACUACACCUUCGACGAGGCCUUCGCCCGGGAGGUGCUGGGCAAGAAGCUCUCCAAGGGCACCAAGAAGGACCUGGACGACAUCAGCGCCAAGACGGGCGUCAGCCUCAAGAGCUGCCGCCGCCAGGUGGGACCGGCCCCGAAACGGGCCGAGACCACCCGCAACGGGCCGAAUCUGCCCAAAAUGGGACGAAUCCACCCCAAAAUGGGCCAGAUCCGCCCCAAAACGGGCCAAGACCACCCGGAAUGGGCCGGAUCUGCCCCGAAACGGGCUGAGACCACCCAGAACGGGCCAGAUCUGCCUGGAACGGGCCGAGUCUGCCCCGGAACAGGCCGGAUCCGCCCCAAAACGGGCCAAGGCCACCCAGAAUGGGCCGAAUCGGCCCAAAAUGGGCCGGAUCUGCCCCAAAACAGGCCAAGACCACCCAGAAUGGGCCGAAUCGGCCCAAAAUGGGCUGGAUCCACCCCAAACCAGGCCAAAUCUGCCCUGAAACAGGCCGGAUCCACCCCAAAACGGGCCAAGACCACCCGGAAUGGGCCGAAUCUGCCCAAAAUGGGCCGAAUCCACCCUGAAACGGGCUGAGACCACCUGGAACCGGCCAAAUCCGCCCUGGAACAGGCCGAGACCACCCCGGAACGGGCCAGAUCCACCCCAAAACAGGCCUAGACCGCCCAGAAUGGGCCAAAUCUGCCCCAAAAUGGGCCGGAUCUCUCCGGAACAGGCCAAGACCACCCAGAACGGGCAAGAGCUGCCCGGAACGGGCCAAAUCUGCCCCGGAACAGGCCAAAUCGGCUGGAUCCCCAAAACGGGCUGGAUCCGCCCCAAAACAGGCCAAGACCACCCAGAACGGGCUGAAUCCACCCGGAAUGGGCCCAAUCUGCCUGAAACAGGCUGAAUCUGCCCCAAAAUGGGCCGAGACCACCCGUAACCGGCCAAAUCCACCCUGGAACAGGCUGUGACCGCCCCGAAAUGGGCCAGUUCUGCCCCAAAACAGGCCAAGACCACCCGGAAUGGGCCGAAUCGGCCCAAAAUGGGCCGGAUCCGCCCCAAAACAGGCCAAGACCACCCAGAACGGGCUGAAUCCACCCGGAAUGGGCCCAAUGAGCCUGAAACAGGCUGAAUCUGCCCCAAAAUGGGCCGAGACCACCCGUAACCGGCCAAAUCCACCCUGGAACAGGCUGUGACCGCCCCGAAAUGGGCCAGUUCUGCCCCAAAACAGGCCAAGACCACCCAGAA